Molecule: ribosomal RNA, 305 nt
Filed under: uncultured bacterium
Lineage: Bacteria
Description: bacterial SSU rRNA
Rfam family: Bacterial small subunit ribosomal RNA
Source: RNAcentral
UUUCCUACGGGGGGCAGCAGUGAGGAAUAUUGGUCAAUGGGCGAGAGCCUGAACCAGCCAAGUCGCGUGAGGGAGUACUGCCCUAUGGGUUGUAAACCUCUUUUGUCGGGGAGCAAAAGCCGAACGUGUCCGGCUGUGAGAGUACCCGAAGAAAAAGCAUCGGCUAACUCCGUGCCAGCAGCCGCGGUAAUACGGAGGAUGCGAGCGUUAUCCGGAUUUAUUGGGUUUAAAGGGUGCGCAGGCGGAUUUUUAAGUCAGCGGUCCAAUCGUGGGGCUCAACCCCGACGAGCCGUUGAAACUGGCUU